CAAAAGGUAGUUUAUAUAAAAUAUUAGUUUUGGGGACUAUUGAUAAGCUCAUACUUUCUUUUGA
RNAcentral lists this transfer RNA (64 nucleotides) under Phraortes sp. 1 NS-2020. RNAcentral describes it as "tRNA-Pro". RNAcentral also lists the same sequence under 1 other name. The record is from RNAcentral. Lineage: Eukaryota; Metazoa; Arthropoda; Insecta; Phasmatodea; Lonchodidae.